CAGCCGCCGCGGUAACACGUAGGGCGCAAGCGUUGUCCGGAAUUAUUGGGCGUAAAGAGCUCGUAGGCGGUCUGUCGCGUCUGGUGUGAAAUCCCGAGGCUCAACCUCGGGCUUGCAUCGGGUACGGGCAGACUAGAGUGCGGUAGGGGAGACUGGAAUUCCUGGUGUAGCGGUGGAAUGCGCAGAUAUCAGGAGGAACACCGAUGGCGAAGGCAGGUCUCUGGGCCGCAACUGACGCUGAGGAGCGAAAGCAUGGGGAGCGAACAGGAUUAGAUACCCCAGUAGUCCCUGUCUCUUAUCC
Molecule: ribosomal RNA, 301 nt
Filed under: uncultured bacterium
Lineage: Bacteria
Description: partial 16S ribosomal RNA
Rfam family: Bacterial small subunit ribosomal RNA
Source: RNAcentral